GCGGGCGUGGCGCAGUGGUUAGCGCGUAGGUCUCAUAAUGUGAUGUGACUUGGGAUAUCCUAAGGUCGAGGGUUCGACACCCUCCGCCCGCA
This 92-nucleotide transfer RNA is filed under the name Volvox carteri f. nagariensis. It matches the Rfam family "tRNA". From Rfam's summary of the family: Transfer RNA (tRNA) molecules are approximately 80 nucleotides in length. Their secondary structure includes four short double-helical elements and three loops (D, anti-codon, and T loops). Further hydrogen bonds mediate the characteristic L-shaped molecular structure. tRNAs have two regions of fundamental functional importance: the anti-codon, which is responsible for specific mRNA codon recognition, and the 3' end, to which the tRNAs corresponding amino acid is attached (by aminoacyl-tRNA synthetases). tRNAs cope with the degeneracy of the genetic code in two manners: having more than one tRNA (with a specific anti-codon) for a particular amino acid; and 'wobble' base-pairing, i.e. permitting non-standard base-pairing at the 3rd anti-codon position. Lineage: Eukaryota; Viridiplantae; Chlorophyta; Chlorophyceae; Chlamydomonadales; Volvocaceae. The record is from Rfam by way of RNAcentral.